AGAUUUUUGAGCGUACUGUUUAGCGGCUUAAUAAACAGGCUGUUAUUACGCAACGAGACAUCGCCCUCGGCGGUAACCUGUUCACCAUCCAGCGGAAUAUCAAGAUGUAAGCGAGCAUUCACAUCGCCAUCUAAUUGUAGCUCCGCCAGCGUCGAGCCAAGCGAGUCUUUUAGCGGCGUCUCGUCGAAAUAAGGCCCAACGGCUUUUCCCGGCCCGUUAAUAUCGGCAUCAAUGAGCAGUUUCUCUUUGGAAUAAUCCGGAAUCGCCGCCGCGAGUUUGCUAGCCUUCACCCCGCCCAAAUCGACGCUAUCCGAACGCAUCCACAGGCCGUCGUUCAGGAAAUCCAGUUCAAUAUUGAGAUUUUUUAGCGCAGGCCAGUCGGGCUGAAAGGCAAACGUCGCAUUGCGUAGCGGCACC
Salmonella enterica subsp. arizonae is the source of this 417-nucleotide non-coding RNA. The record is from Rfam. NCBI's taxonomy places the organism in Bacteria, Pseudomonadati, Pseudomonadota, Gammaproteobacteria, Enterobacterales, Enterobacteriaceae.